RNAcentral lists this ribosomal RNA (492 nucleotides) under uncultured bacterium. RNAcentral's name for it is "partial 16S ribosomal RNA". It matches the Rfam family "Bacterial small subunit ribosomal RNA", at positions 29 to 507 of the family's 1533-position model. The record is from RNAcentral.
AGUGAACGCUGGCGGUAGGCCUAACACAUGCAAGUCGAACGGCAGCACAGUAAGAGCUUGCUCUUACGGGUGGCGAGUGGCGGACGGGUGAGGAAUACAUCGGAAUCUACUUUUUCGUGGGGGAUAACGUAGGGAAACUUACGCUAAUACCGCAUACGACCUACGGGUGAAAGCAGGGGAUCUUCGGACCUUGCGCGAUUGAAUGAGCCGAUGUCGGAUUAGCUAGUUGGCGGGGUAAAGGCCCACCAAGGCGACGAUCCGUAGCUGGUCUGAGAGGAUGAUCAGCCACAAUGGAACUGAGAAACGGUCCAGACUCCUACGGGAGGCAGCAGUGGGGAAUAUUGGACAAUGGGCGCAAGCCUGAUCCAGCCAUACCGCGUGGGUGAAGAAGGCCUUCGGGUUGUAAAACCCUUUUGUUGGGAAAGAAAAGCAGCAGGUUAAUACCCCGCUGUUCUGACGGUACCCAAAGAAUAAGCACCGGCUAACUUCGUG